Long non-coding RNA from Corvus hawaiiensis (hawaiian crow), 2461 nucleotides. RefSeq lists it as uncharacterized. Lineage: Eukaryota; Metazoa; Chordata; Aves; Passeriformes; Corvidae. The transcript is spliced from 2 exons. The record is from RefSeq and is a predicted model, not a curated record.
CGGGCGAGCCGAGGGGGCGCGUCGCCCCGCGGCCGCGGGGACCUGCGCUGAGUUGGAGCAGGGAUAGCCGCAGGCCACAGGCGCGCCCCCAGCGCGGCCCGCGGGAGGCGGCUCUGCCCGCGGCUGUCACUGGGACCCGCGGCUGCCCUACGGGAUUGGGAAAGGUGGCGGUGGGGAUAAAAGGCGCGACCCACGCGCUCCAGUAGCUCCCGCCCUCGGGAGACCCCAGCCCUGCUCGGGGUCACCCGCAGAUUUCGUGUCACCUCUCUGCGCCGUGCCCCCCGUUUGUGUGCGGGUGCUGAGGCGGAUGGGCAGUCAGUUCCCAGGUUGUGCGAUGAGCAGUCCCGUUAGCGUCCGCGCUUUGAUACUGGUCGCGGGUCAGCCCUGAACUGCUCCGAGAAAACCUUCACAACUUUUCCUCCUUGUGCAGAACUUUUUCAAUUCGAAAUACUCCGUUUUCCCCAUACUACGAACUUCCAGAAGUCUACAUGUCUGUAACAACUCUAUCCAAGGAGAAGCAGUACAUAAAAGCUGCAAAUGCCAUGGCUGAACCACAGCUGAAGAGACGAGCCAUUUCCACAAACUUUAGUGAAUAGAGAAUUCUGAAAAGCAAGUAUUUUUGUCCUGUUCACAUCAAUUCAAAUGUGUUCUUCUCAACAGUUUUGAUUUUAUUAUUUUUGCUGAAUAUGUCAGCCCCAAGUGACUGUUCACUUGGCAUAUGUCUUGCGUAGGAAGGGUUAAAAUAGGCAGGUAUUUUGUCUGAUGACUUGGCUAAGCAUCUUACAAGCAGGGCUUGAGUGGAAAAUAUUUAAACAAGAGUUAUUUCCCUUUACUUCUCUGCUCUAGUGAGACUUAUUAAUGUCUUCUUAUUUUAAGCCAGGAAAUGAUGCCCCCCACACCUUAAAUCCCAGCCAGUUCUUAUGUGUGGCUGCAGCUUUCCCAGAUUUUAUUCACAUUAUGACAGACAAGCUGUGAAGAUCGAUAGCAGCAAAAGCACAGAUUUCAACAUGUGUAAACCUUGAUAACAAACGCCUUUUUUUUCACCUGUAGAACGGUAUUAUAGAGGUGUGUUUUUAAAGGACAGAAGUAUCUCUGUGCAUGCCCUUCUAAAAUGAAACCACAAAGCCAUUCGUAAGGAAAGAUGAGAAGGACACAACAUGUCUUCAUAGUUUCAAGUAGACAACUCUAAUGAAAUACUCUAUCUCUCAGAAAAAGUUUGUUACCGUAUCUUUAUUAGAAAUGCUUUCAUGAUACAUUCUGCAUUUCAAGUUAAAAUAAAGCAGAUCAAGAAGACAUGAAUCUGUUUAUAUUCACCACAAAGAACUGUAGAGAACUUAAUAAAGGCAAAAAUAUUUUUAUAAAUUUUUUCAGGCAAAUUAUUUAUUUAUGAAAUAAUUUACAAAGAAAAUUUUUACCUCAUGGCUUAGAUACAUUGCAUAUGCUUAUGAUUGACACAAUAUGUUCAGGCUCAAAGGCCCAUAUAGACUUUUUUCCCUCUUUUUUUUUUUUUAGUCCUAGCAGGAAUAUUUCAAAACAGCCAACUAAUUCAUGAAGUCAUACAAUAAUUGUUUGAGAGUUGUUUCCAAUAUAGGAAAAUAAGUUAUGUAUAUUGUUUUCAUUCAAAUAUUUGUUGAUUUGUUGUUAGAAUGCUUUGACAUUGACAUGCCGCAAACUGCAUUAGGAGAAAUAUUGUAGAUUUUUUUUUUCAUUUAUUAUCUUCUGCUGUCAAACUUUUCCAAAACCACUUAAAGCAAGUUUUAUUUCACUUUGUUCAAAACUCAUAGUCUGCAUGAAAGUAGGUUGUUUUUGAAAUAACAGGUUCAGGUUUCUUUAAUAGAUAAGAGCUGAGGAAGUGAAGGAAAAGCAGCAAAGCGAAAAGAUGCAGAGAAAGUGCUGCUUUCACUGAGAGGCAUGAACAAAGUAACUUCUAAAUAAUCCUCGGGUUUUUUUACAGUCAGACACGUUCUCCAUUGAGGGAGAAUACAGAGGCCAGUCACAGUUGCUUCUUGAAAGAAAACAGUAUAACAGUCAUUGUUUAUCAAGAUGACAUAACAUGCCAUUUUUGCCUUUAUUAUUUAAUGCAGUUUCUCUUGUCGUUUACUCAGCGUAGAUACAAAGAGGGAUUAACAGUAAAGCAUAAGCAUACUUGUUUUACAAUUUCAGCCUUUUAGUGCAUAACUUACUUAAAGUACUAGGGCCUAUAAUCACAAUGAUUUUACCUGAUGGAACAUGCAUUUCAGAAAUAUAAUCCAACUGUUUACCCUAACACGUCAUAAAUUGCAAUUCUUUACAAAAACCUCAGAAAUUGACAUCCGUUGCUCUUAAAUGCCUGCUGCUUUAGCACAUAUCAUCAAGAAAGUAUUUCUGUAUUAUUCUCCCUCUGCUUGGUAGCAUAUUACUUGAAUUCUAAAGACGGUUCUCUUAUACUGUCUUCAGUAAUGAACAUUUUGAGAAGCACUUA